This 357-nucleotide ribosomal RNA is filed under the name uncultured Ehrlichia sp. Its description in RNAcentral is "bacterial SSU rRNA". It matches the Rfam family "Bacterial small subunit ribosomal RNA", at positions 63 to 432 of the family's 1533-position model. The record is from RNAcentral. Lineage: Bacteria; Pseudomonadati; Pseudomonadota; Alphaproteobacteria; Rickettsiales; Anaplasmataceae.
UCAAUUAUUUAUAGCCUCUGGCUAUAGGAAAUUGUUAGUGGCAGACGGGUGAGUAAUGCGUAGGAAUCUACCUAGUAGUACGGAAUAGCCAUUAGAAAUGGUGGGUAAUACUGUAUAAUCCCCGAGGGGGAAAGAUUUAUCGCUAUUAGAUGAGCCUACGUUAGAUUAGCUAGUUGGUGAGGUAAUGGCUUACCAAGGCUAUGAUCUAUAGCUGGUCUGAGAGGACGAUCAGCCACACUGGAACUGAGAUACGGUCCAGACUCCUACGGGAGGCAGCAGUGGGGAAUAUUGGACAAUGGGCGAAAGCCUGAUCCAGCUAUGCCGCGUGAGUGAAGAAGGCCUUCGGGUUGUAAAACU